GCCAUCGUUCAAGACAUGAUUGUUCUAACAAUGUACAAUCGAUGGGUUUGGUGAAGCUAUACUGUCCGAUGGGAGAUCCCCUUUGCUUGGUAGUAGUUUGAGCUCUGAAGGACCAGAAACUAUGUGAGAUUGGCAAGAUCACCGGUGGCUUUUGCUCAGGAUUCCUCCAAAGAAUGGAGUUGUGAAGGUAGAUUCGUUCUUUUUAUCUAUAUCUAGUCUCAAAGGAGGGUUAUGAAAAGCCAGUUAUAACGCUGUUCAUGGUCGUACGUAAAUUACGGCUAAGACUCCUAAGUCCUAAGACCAGGUUCGCUGCCAGUCCCACAUCAGAGAAGAGCAACAUAUAUCUAUCUCGAGGGUUACAAAAGAGAGAAACUCAAGUCUGUAAAACUCACGGAGCCAUGUGUUGAGCACAAAGCGAACUAUUCUUUCGCCUUUUACUAAAGAAUACCGUGUGCGCGGCGCUUUAAAUGGCAUACGCCUAUUUUUGAAAGGGCGCACCUCUGUGGGUGCCCCUCAAAUUUUAGUUUACAAAUUUUUGUUAACAGGUUCUCCAUAAUAAUCUAUAAUCUUCCAUUUUCCAGUUGUUUCAUUAUGUUCUUAAUCGCACCAGGUUCUUCUGUUGCAUUAAAUCUUACAACCACUAUGCGCACCUUGCUGCAGCACAAGUGGGCAGUACAUGAAGUUUGAAGAUCUCUGAGAAACUUCCAUCAGCCGAAGGUAGUGUCACAACAUCAGAGACAAUCCCAGUUCAAGAGCUCCAUAAUAAGGUCCAGGGCUCCAUGUUCUUCGGCUAAGGUCCUGCUGCUACCACUCUUGGUGGAUAUGGCUGAUGUUUUUAACUAAUUGACUCUCGUAGACGUAGGACAACAACCCCAGCUUUCAUGUGAAAUAGAGCGGUUUAGACAUUUAGGGGUAUUUGUGAAAUAGAGCUGCUUAUGAGAAGCAAAUAGUUUUCUUUUGUAUCAUGCAUACAGCAGGUUGCAGAAUCAAAACCCAGUUUAAAGUAUGGAUCAUGUAAAGUAUGAAAACCUCUAGGCCAUAAUCGAUAGAGGUUUUUGAAUGUGUAGAGUAUGAAGUUGAAGGCUUGAAGCACAGGAAGUUUGUUCCAGAAUGUCCAAGUGCAAACAAUAGAAUUUAACUGGGAACUGAUAGGAUUCUUCUGUAUAUACACCCACCUUGUAAAUAAAAUGGCCUAGGUGGAAACUCAACUCCUCCCGAGUGAUGAAAGAAUUGAAGUUGAAUGAAACUGCCGUGACGUCUUUCACUAUUCGUCGACGAGCUGAAAACCUUCAACACCCAUGAGAUUUGCUAAUGACAUAUCAACUCCUCCCACGUGAAGUAAGAAUUGAAGUUGAAUGAAACUGCCGUGACGGCUUUCACUAUUUGUAGACCAGCUGCCAACUUUCAACACCCAUGAAAUUUGCUAAUGUUCUUUAACUAUGACAUGCUAACGUUCCUGCAUAUAUAAAA
This 1470-nucleotide long non-coding RNA is filed under the name Fragaria vesca (wild strawberry). RNAcentral's name for it is "long non-coding RNA (FVES_LNC001570)". The stretch from base 395 to 511 matches the Rfam family "U5 spliceosomal RNA". Lineage: Eukaryota; Viridiplantae; Streptophyta; Magnoliopsida; Rosales; Rosaceae. The record is from RNAcentral.